UCAUAGGCUUCUUUUUACAGAAGCCACAUAUUUUAACAAUUUAAAUUAAA
This is a non-coding RNA of Phalacrocorax carbo (great cormorant), 50 nucleotides long. The record is from Rfam. Lineage: Eukaryota; Metazoa; Chordata; Aves; Suliformes; Phalacrocoracidae.